UACAGAGGUCUCGAGCGUUGUUCGGAUUCAUUGGGCGUAAAGGGUGCGUAGGCGGCGAGGUAAGUCGGGUGUGAAAUUCCGGGGCUCAACCCCGGAACUGCACUCGAUACUGCUUUGCUCGAGGACUGGAGAGGAGAACGGAAUUCACGGUGUAGCAGUGAUAUGCGUAGAUAUCGUGAGGAAGACCGGUGGCGAAGGCGGUUCUCUGGACAGUUCCUGACGCUGAGGCACGAAGGCUAGGGGAGCGAACUGG
RNAcentral lists this ribosomal RNA (253 nucleotides) under uncultured bacterium. Its description in RNAcentral is "partial 16S ribosomal RNA". It matches the Rfam family "Bacterial small subunit ribosomal RNA", at positions 524 to 776 of the family's 1533-position model. The record is from RNAcentral.